This 260-nucleotide ribosomal RNA is filed under the name Triticum aestivum (bread wheat). Its description in RNAcentral is "partial small subunit ribosomal RNA". The record is from RNAcentral. Lineage: Eukaryota; Viridiplantae; Streptophyta; Magnoliopsida; Poales; Poaceae.
UCCGCUGAGGUAGACUUGGCGUUGAAGACCCUCCCGUUCCUCUCAUUCCACAUGUGCCAAGCAAAAUAAGCAGCAUCAACGGCCUGCUCUUUGUUGCGCUGGGAGCAAACACUCCACCAAUGAGAGAUGGACUGAAUGCUAGCAGGCAGGGAAGGGUAGCACAAGGGCCGUGCCAAGCAUAGCUUGUUCCAAACAUCCUUGGCAAAAAGGCAUGUGUUGAAGAGGUGGAGUGCAGUUUCAGGGAGUUGGAGGCAGAGAGA